AAGUCGUAACAAGGUUUUCGUAGGUGAACCUGCGGAAGGAUCAUUAACACGAGUUUACUCGUAUUAUUUAACAACCGGUCAUUUGUGACGCCCUCUUUUGCUGGACCCGUAGUGGUGGCGCUUCGGCGCCGGGAUUUCUUGACGAGACGCUCGUCGAGGACUGGCAGAUGUAGGUCGUGGAUAAAUAAACCGGGUGCGGCUGGAGUCACUCCUGGCCGCGUCCAUGGCUGCUACGGGCCCCUAAACAGGCUCCGCGUAGUCGAAUAACUUUUAACCCAAACAACGAAUUACGUAUUCUUCGAAAGGGCUUCUUCGGAAGUCUCAUUAGAAAACUUUGAACAACUCUUAGCAGUGGAUAUCUCGGCUCUC
Molecule: unclassified non-coding RNA, 369 nt
Filed under: fungal sp.
Lineage: Eukaryota; Fungi
Description: partial internal transcribed spacer region
Rfam family: Eukaryotic small subunit ribosomal RNA (bases 1-46)
Source: RNAcentral